CAAUAGCGUAUAUUUAAGUUGUUGCAGUUAAAAAGCUCGUAGUUGGAUUUCGGAUGGGAUUUGCCGGUCCGUCGUUACGAUGUGCACUGGCCAGUCCUAUCUUGUUGUCGGGGACUAGCUCCUUGGAUUCACUUCCUGGGACUAGGAGCUGACGAGGUUACUUUGAGUAAAUUAGAGUGUUCAAAGCAAGCCUACGCUCUGAAUACAUUAGCAUGGAAUAACACGAUAGGACUCUGGCUUAUCUUGUUGGUCUGUGAGACCAGAGUAAUGAUUAAGAGGGACAGUCGGGGACAUUCGUAUUUCAUUGUCAGAGGUGAAAUUCUUGGAUUUAUGAAAGACGAACUUCUGCGAAAGCAUUUGUCAAGGGUGUUUUCAUUAA
RNAcentral lists this ribosomal RNA (379 nucleotides) under uncultured eukaryote. RNAcentral's name for it is "partial 18S ribosomal RNA". It matches the Rfam family "Eukaryotic small subunit ribosomal RNA", at positions 592 to 976 of the family's 1831-position model. The record is from RNAcentral.